RNAcentral lists this ribosomal RNA (253 nucleotides) under uncultured bacterium. Its description in RNAcentral is "partial 16S ribosomal RNA". It matches the Rfam family "Bacterial small subunit ribosomal RNA", at positions 524 to 776 of the family's 1533-position model. The record is from RNAcentral.
UACGGAGGGUGCAAGCAUUGAUCGGAAUUACUGGGCGUAAAGGGCGCGUAGGCGGUGAAAUAAGUCAGAUGUGAAAUUCCGGGGCUCAACCCCGGAGCUGCAUUUGAAACUAUUUUUCUAGAGUUCAGUUAGGGUAAACGGAAUUCCACGUGUAGCGGUGAAAUGCGUAGAUAUGUGGAAGAACACCGGUGGUGAAGACGGUUUACUGGGCUGAUACUGACGCUGAGGCGCGAAAGCAUGGGGAGCAAACAGG